GGAAGGGUGGGAGAGUGGUUAAAUCCACGAGACUGUAAAUCUCGCGCUUCACGGCUACACUGGUUCGAAUCCAGUCCCUUCCACCA
RNAcentral lists this transfer RNA (86 nucleotides) under Hyphomonadaceae bacterium. RNAcentral describes it as "tRNA-Tyr". It matches the Rfam family "tRNA". From Rfam's summary of the family: Transfer RNA (tRNA) molecules are approximately 80 nucleotides in length. Lineage: Bacteria; Pseudomonadati; Pseudomonadota; Alphaproteobacteria; Hyphomonadales; Hyphomonadaceae. The record is from RNAcentral.